UGCGAAUGGCUCAUUAAAUCAGUUAUCGUUUAUUUGAUCGUACCUUACUACUUGGAUAACCGUGGUAAUUCUAGAGCUAAUACAUGCUGAAAAGCCCGACUUCGGAAGGGUUGUAUUUAUUAGAUAAAAAACCAAUGCCCUUCGGGGCUCUUUGGUGAUUCAUAAUAACUUCUCAGAUCGCACGGCCUUGCGCCGGCGACGGUUCAUUCAAAUUUCUGCCCUAUCAACUUUCGAUGGUACGGUAUUGGCCUACCAUGGUUUCAACGGGUAACAGGGAAUUAGGGUUCGAUUCUGGAGAGCGAGCCUGAGAGACGGCUAGCACAUCCAAGGAAGGCAGCAGGCGCGCAAAUUACUCAAUGCCGACACGGCGAAGUAGUGACAAUAAAUACUGAUACAGGGCUCUUUUGGGUCUUGUAAUUGGAAUGAGUACAAUUUAAACCUCUUAACGAGGAACAAUUGGAGGGCAAGUCUGGUGGAUGUUUAGAUCCUGUCUGCUGACGCCAGCAAUAGCCGGGCAUUUCUCAGCGAGAGUGCAAAGCCGGCUGGUCGAGUACCUGUCAAUUGAUGGGAAGGUACCGGCGAGACAACCUGGAUCGGGAGAGGCUAAGGCGCAGACGCGCUAUGCUGACCCCGAGCAGAGCUUCUGUGGAGCGAUCCGCGGAUGGCCUGUGUAGAGCGCGCAAAGGUGUCGGUCAGCUCAUGUAGUUGGCUUAAGGGACGUGCCAUUCCCGCCCGAAAGGGUGGUUGCUAGCCUGAGCGCCCAUCACGCAAGGGCUGGCAGUUUUGAACACCUGAAGCCCGCACAAGGGCCUUCGCGAGGGUGUGAAAAAUGGGGGUUUGCAAGGCCAGCAGCCGCGGUAAUUCCAGCUCCAAUAGCGUAUAUUAAAGUUGUUGCAGUUAAAAAAGCUCG
Molecule: ribosomal RNA, 910 nt
Filed under: Trematosphaeria sp.
Lineage: Eukaryota; Fungi; Ascomycota; Dothideomycetes; Pleosporales; Trematosphaeriaceae
Description: SSU rRNA
Rfam family: Eukaryotic small subunit ribosomal RNA
Source: RNAcentral